GUCUGGGUGGCUCAGUUGGUUGAGUAUCUGACUUCAGCUCAGGUCCUGAUCUUGCGGUUCGUGAGUUCGAGCCCCACAUCAGGCU
Felis catus (domestic cat) is the source of this 85-nucleotide transfer RNA. It matches the Rfam family "tRNA". From Rfam's summary of the family: Transfer RNA (tRNA) molecules are approximately 80 nucleotides in length. Lineage: Eukaryota; Metazoa; Chordata; Mammalia; Carnivora; Felidae. The record is from Rfam.